GCAGUCGCGCGGUCAGCAAUGGCAGCGGCGGACGGGUGAGUAACGCGCUAGGAAUGUAUCCAGAGGUGGGGGACAACCCCGGGAAACUGGGGCUAAUACCGCAUAUGGGCUGAGGCCCAAAGCAGUAAUGCGCCUUUGGAGCAGCCUGCGUCCGAUUAGGUAGUUGGUGGGGUAAUGGCCUACCAAGCCUUCGAUCGGUAGCUGGUCUGAGAGGACGAUCAGCCACACUGGGACUGAGACACGGCCCAAACUCAUACGGGAGGCAGCGGUGGGGAAUAUUGGACAAUGGGCGAAAGCCUGAUCCAGCAAUGCCGCGUGUGUGAAGAAGGUCUUCGGAUCGUAAAGCACUUUCCACAGGGACGAUGAUGACGGUACCUGUAGAAGAAGCCCCGGCUACCUUGUUACCACUUGCCGCGGUAAUACAAAUGAGACUAGAGUUACUCGGAAUUACUGGGCGUAAAGGGCGCGUAGGCGGCUUGGCCAGUCAGGCGUGAAAUUCCUGGGCUUAACCUGGGGACUGCGCUUGAUACUGCCAGGCUUGAGGCCGAGAGAGGGUGGUGGAAUUCCCAGUGUAGAGGUGAAAUUCGUAGAUAUUGGGAAGAACACCGGUGGCGAAGGCGACCACCUGGCUCGGUACUGACGCUGAGGCG
RNAcentral lists this ribosomal RNA (650 nucleotides) under uncultured bacterium. Its description in RNAcentral is "bacterial SSU rRNA". It matches the Rfam family "Bacterial small subunit ribosomal RNA", at positions 57 to 753 of the family's 1533-position model. The record is from RNAcentral.